ACCGCCGCCCAAUAGGAGCGCCCCUCUUCUUCGUCACGUGCUCCUCCUCCUCGGCGGCGCUGCGGAGUUGACCUUUCACCCCAAGAUGGCGGCGCCCGUCGGUCCGAUGAAGUUUUGGAAACCAGGUACAGAUGGACCAGGUGCCAGUCUCUCAGAGGAAAGGCAGAGUCCUGCUGAAAGUACUAGUGUUUCAGUCAUCUACAACCCAUAUGUUUCUCUUUCUAUUGAACAACAGAGGCAAAAGCUACCAGUUUUUAAGCUGAGAAAUCACAUCCUUUAUCUGGUAGAAAACUAUCAAACACUGGUGAUUGUUGGAGAAACAGGAUGUGGGAAAAGCACUCAGAUUCCCCAGUAUCUAAUGGAAGCUGGCUGGACUGCAGAAGGUCGAGUAGUGGGAGUAACACAGCCUCGCAGAGUUGCAUGUGUUUCAAUUGCAGGCCGAGUAGCUGAGGAGAGGGGUGCCUUGCUAGGUCAUGAAGUUGGGUAUUGCAUCCGAUUUGAUGAUUGUACUGAUCCACAGACUACAAGGAUCAAGUUCCUGACUGAUGGGAUGCUAGUGAGGGAAAUGAUGGCUGACCCAUUAUUAACAAGAUAUAGUGUAAUCAUGUUGGAUGAAGCUCAUGAAAGAACGUUGUAUACAGACAUUGCCAUUGGUUUGCUAAAAAAGGUUCAAAAGAAACGAGGAGAUCUUCGUCUAAUUGUAGCAUCGGCAACACUGGAUGCAGAGAAAUUUAGGGAUUUCUUUAAUCAAAAUGAGACGAGUGACCCAAGCAAAGAUACCAGCAUGAUCCUUACUGUGGAAGGACGAACAUUUCCAGUGGAUGUCUUCUACAUUCAGAGGCGCAGACUUCAGUGGAGGAGGGCUUCGGGAACCUUCCCCCGUCCCCUUUUGCACCGGCCAGCUGGAGCAGACUUCAGACGAGUGCUACGGGGACUCGGUGGAAUCUUCAUGCUUUUCCUCCCCUGGAAUCUUAGUCCUCCCCUUCCCCCUCCACAGAAGGGAUAUGGGCAAACCUGGCAGCAUCUUCAUGCCCUCUCUCCUCCUCCACAAAAGGAGAUGGACAGUCCUGUUCCAGAUUAUGUGAAAUCAACUGUGGAAACUGUCAUGAAAAUUCAUCAGACAGAAGGUGAUGGGGAUAUUCUGGCAUUUUUAACUGGCCAGGAGGAGGUAGAAACUGUUGUUUCAAUGCUGAUAGAACAGGCACGGAUCUUUGCUCGCACAGGAAUGAAGAAACACCUGCGCGUUCUUCCUAUGUAUGCUGGGUUACCUGCUUCUGAACAGAUGAAAGUGUUUGAGAGAGUAUCUCAUAAUGUUAGAAAGGUUAUAGUGGCCACUAAUAUUGCAGAAACAUCUAUUACAAUCAAUGGCAUUUCAUUUGUGAUUGACUGUGGUUUUGUGAAGCUCCGUGCAUAUAAUCCAAAAACAGCAAUUGAAUGCCUUGUGGUUGUUCCAGUAUCGAAGGCCUCAGCGAAUCAGAGGGCAGGUCGGGCAGGUCGAAACCGUUCAGGAAAAUGCUACAGACUUUAUACAGAGGAAGAUUUUGAGAAGUUGCCACAAUCCACUAUUCCUGAGAUGCAGCGCAGUAACCUAGCACCAGUCAUUCUCCAGCUGAAAGCUUUAGGAAUUGACAAUGUGCUCAGGUUUCCUUUCCUCUCACCUCCACCUGCUCAGUCAAUGGUGCAAGCUUUGGAGCUACUCUAUGCAUUAGGAGGGCUUGAUAAAUAUUGCCGUCUCACUGAACCUCUUGGAAUUAGGAUAGCAGAAUUCCCUUUGAAUCCCAUGUUUGCUAAGAUGCUCCUAGAAUCAGGGAAUUUUGGUUGCUCCCAGGAGAUUCUGAGCAUUGCUGCCAUGAUGCAGAUCCAGAACAUCUUUACAAUUCCUCCAAACCAGAAGACACAAGCUACCAGAGAACACAGAAAAUUUGCUGUUGAAGAGGGUGACCAUCUCACUAUGCUUAAUGUCUAUGAAGCUUUUAUCAAACACAACAAGAAUUCUCAGUGGUGCCAAGAUCAUUUUUUAAACUACAAAGGCCUCGUCAGAGCCACAGCUGUCAGAGAACAGCUGAAAAAACUUCUUGUCAAGUUCAAAGUACCAAAAAAAUCCUGUGAAGGUGAUCCAGAUCCUGUUCUAAGGUGCAUAGUUUCUGGAUUCUUUGCUAACGCAGCCAGGUUUCACUCUACAGGGGCCUACAGGACUAUUCGUGAUGACCAUGAACUUCAUAUCCAUCCCACCUCAGUGCUGUAUGCGGAGAAGCCCCCUCGUUGGGUAGUAUACAAUGAAGUCAUACAGACCUCAAGAUACUACAUGCGAGAUGUAACAGCUAUUGAAUCUGCUUGGCUGUUGGAACUGGCUCCUCACUUCUACCAGCAAGGAACGGUACGGACUCGACAUAGACUCCAAACGCACCUUUCCCUGAAAGCCAAAAGGACUAAAGUUGAUGACCAUUGACUCGCCAUUGCUGUUCAAGUCUACAGUGUGUGAUGCUGAACUUGCUACCAAUUUGAAACUCCUACUGUCCAUCCAACACAGUUCACAGAUUGCCUUCUUUGAAGGUGAAAUGAUAUGUUCAGCAGGCACUGAUUAAACUGCAUCGGCUUGCCUUCCUACAAAAACUCCCUUCAUUGUACCAGAAGUAUAGUUUUAGAUAAGUAUAUAUUUAUUUUCAAAUAUUGUUUAUUUUAGGAUGAUUUUUUGAAUGCUUGGAUUUGUGCUUGUUUUUAGAAGAUUUGUUUUGUUGAAUGACUUGUUCUCUUCCCCCUGUUUUAAAUGUAUGUAAAUGAUUAAGGGUUUUGUUUUUGUUUUUACACAGAAUAAGGGUUUUCCUUGACCUGGAUGUGCAUUAUAAGCCACCUUUUCAAAUCUUCCUUCUCAUUCUGCUCUCCAUAAAUUUUCAGAAAAGCUUGUUCUGUCAAUAUGUGGUUUGUGCAGUUUCUCUGUGCUGUAUAUAUCAUCAGCUUCACAAAAUGCAUUCCAUCUUUUGGAUUUCUGAUGCAGAUCUCUUUCUCUCUCCUCCUCCCUUCUCCUUCCCUAUGGUAGUUGAGCUCUUUUGAGCUGGGGUUGUCUUUUAUUCUUGUGGAAUGUGUGGUGUUCAGAAUAUUGUUGGUGCGCCAUAAUGGGCAUUUAAUUGUAAAGCUGUUUUCCCUUUAAAGGAGCUUACAAAGUCCUGGAUGCAAAGUGUGUAAACAUCCAUGUUGUUUUGUCCUCUGUUAACACACUCUAGGGGGAAAAUAAAGUUGUGGAAUCAAGUAAUCUA
Sceloporus undulatus (fence lizard) is the source of this 3254-nucleotide RNA transcript. It is a transcript of the gene named probable ATP-dependent RNA helicase DHX35, with no coding region annotated. The record is from RefSeq and is a predicted model, not a curated record. Lineage: Eukaryota; Metazoa; Chordata; Lepidosauria; Squamata; Phrynosomatidae. The transcript has 24 exons.